GUGUAUUGUGCGGACUCGGCGGCGUCGUUUUCGAGCAGCCGCAGCGGCCAUGAAAACGUGUGUGCUCUCCGACACGAGGCCUGAGCUGCGGGACUUUGGUUGCAGAGCUGGCAAACGUUCUGGUGGGACACAAGUACGUUGAUGAGAAGGAUUUCGUGCGUUCCGAAACCUCGUUCGGGAAGCACGCGCCACGCUCAGGGGUCUGAGCGCCGCCAAAGCUGCUCUAAAGUUCGACUGGCCUGGUGAAAGCUCAUCACGAGGGAGGUACUUGUCGCGAACGUGUCUCGCAAACCCAAUAAUGUUCUUGAUAGCAGAAAAAUGGUCUGGUUAAAUCACAUGACGAUGGAGACGUCUGGUUCACUAGUGUCUCGCGAACCCCGCAGUAUCCUCAUUCGAUUCGAGCAAUUGUUGCAUCCCAGGGACAGAGAGAAGGCUUGAGUUGCGUGCUACAUCAAGCGUUCUGCGUUGCGUUGGAAAAUCGAGCGGCACCGAGUCGGGUCUAUCUAUUCGCGCGUACUGCACCCAUCUUUACACGGCGAUCGAAGCACACCGUUGGAGAUACGCACAAACUUGUAAAACUAGAGCGGCGCCACGCUGAGCCGGACUAGUUCGGGAAACUGCGCUAUCAUAUCUUCCUCCGUGAGCGUGUCGUUCGGUCGAUCAGGGGUCCAGAGAACCUCCACCGCAAGCAGGUCGUCUUCCGUGACACCAUGAAGCGCCUCCAAGACAUGGCCGCUGGAGCGCGCAACACCUGUGAGGUUCCGGAUCGCGACAAGAAGCGCCACCACGAGGAAGCUAUCAGGCUCUGUUUCCUCCCCAGGCGCAUUAUUUGCAUCUCCAGUUUCAUCUGAAUGAAUUCGGCGGACGCCGUCCAAGUUCAGGACGGUGUCUUCACGCCAAUUCGCUUUAAUCUGCACGCUCAUUCGACGAAAGGAGCUUUCAGCAGCCGAUUCUUCAGAUGCAUCGAAGGUUAGCACAUCGUGAGCAGAUGCGUACCAUCCCUCGCCGGUCUCGCGGGCUCUUUCAAGCAAGAGCGUAGCGUCGCGGAGAAGAUGGCAAAGAUCUCGUGGUUGCGUUGUGUCUAGCUCUGCAGCUAGGGCUUGCAGUUUGGGACGGACAAAGUCUCGAGCUUCGCCUCGAAGCGCGACCAAUAGUCGAGCGACGGCUAUGCUUCCCGGCUGGAAGCUUAUCCCACGCUUGGUCCGGUCACCGCGACUUUUCAGGGUCGAAGCAGCUAUGACGCUACCGAAAAUCGCUAUCUCCCAUGGAAACGAGUUGCCGGUUCGUGGACCACGAGCCGUAGGCACUUGGACGCUCACUGUUCCUUCGCUGUCAGAAAAGCUCAGGUCGCCAGUGGUUUCCUGUCUGUACACCUGGCGACUUGGUCUACCAGGGAGGACUGUAUCACUGGGACCAGUGCCAGACGACUCUGAACGGCUCCAACCGCCGACACUGCCGCCCGUUCGACUGGCGAGCACUUGUUGAACCGCCACUCCGGAACGGUUUUGCACGAACAGUACUUGCGCCGGCACGGGCUGCAGCCACGGAAAAGUCAUCAACAGCCCCCGGCGUGGUUGACAACCCAAACGCGACGCUCUUCUUGUUCUGCGCGCUCUGAAGUGCACGCCUUCCUCCUGAGGAGAAACCGGUACGAGCGUGCGUACUGCUGCACCAAAACGCCCGCUCGUUGCACCUGGGGCUCCUCCGCAACUGAACAUUGUGAACACGGUGUAAACGGUUUA
Molecule: unclassified non-coding RNA, 1742 nt
Filed under: Cyanidioschyzon merolae strain 10D
Lineage: Eukaryota; Rhodophyta; Bangiophyceae; Cyanidiales; Cyanidiaceae
Description: hypothetical transcript
Source: RNAcentral